GUAAUAGUGGUAAUAAUAGUAGUAGUAAUAGGAGUAGAGGAGGAGGAGGAGGAAUAGUGGUAAUAAUAGUAGUAGUAAUAGGAGGAGGAGGAGGAGGAAUAGUGGUAAUAGUAGUAGUAAUAGGAGGAGGAGGAGGAAUAGUGGUAAUAAUAGUAGUAGUAAUAGGAGGAGGAGGAGGAGUAAUAGUAGUAGUAAUAGGAGGAGAGGAGGAAGGAGGAAUAGUAGUAGUAGGAGGAGGAGGAGGAGGAAUAUUUGUAGAAUCUGCAUGUGUUUUGAAUCCUGAUAUGAAUACUGACAUGCAC
This is a long non-coding RNA of Ictalurus punctatus (channel catfish), 302 nucleotides long. Lineage: Eukaryota; Metazoa; Chordata; Actinopteri; Siluriformes; Ictaluridae. The record is from Ensembl.